CACCAAGCUGCAACAGAUCCUGAUGCCACUGCUGAACGAAACUCAGUGCAUGGGAUCUUUGAGUUACAAUAUGAAGCAGACCAUGUUGUGUGCUGGUGCUGGAAGCUCUUCACAUUGUUUGAGAGACUUAGGUGCCCCUCUUGUGUACAAAGAAAAUGGCACUUGGACCCUGAUCGGCAUUCUCGUAUUGGCAUUAAACCCCUGUUCUGCAUCCACUCCACUUUACUACAGCCGUGUUGCAUCCUUCGAUGAUUGGUUCAACAACAUCUUUUCUCAAUAUUCGUUUAAAUGAAAUAUGUAUUCAGAUACAUCUGAUAAUAAAUAUCAAAAAAUUUAAUAAACGAGUCAAGACACUUUAGCAUUCAUGGAAA
This is a long non-coding RNA of Bombina bombina (fire-bellied toad), 371 nucleotides long. RefSeq lists it as uncharacterized. The transcript has 2 exons. The record is from RefSeq and is a predicted model, not a curated record. NCBI's taxonomy places the organism in Eukaryota, Metazoa, Chordata, Amphibia, Anura, Bombinatoridae.